CGAGAUGAGUAUUCUAAGGCGCUUGAGAGAACUCGGGAGAAGGAACUCGGCAAAUUGGUACCGUAACUUCGGGAAAAGGUACGCCCCAGUAGCUUGGCUGAUUUACUUCAGUAGGGCGAAAGGGUUGCAAUAAACUGGUGGCUGCGACUGUUUAAUAAAAACACAGCACUCUGCAAACACGAAAGUGGACGUAUAGGGUGUGACGCCUGCCCGGUGCUGGAAGAUUAAAUGAUGGGGUGCAAGCUCUUGAUUGAAGUCCCAGUAAACGGCGGCCGUAACUAUAACGGUCCUAAGGUAGCGAAAUUCCUUGUCGGGUAAGUUCCGACCUGCACGAAUGGCGUAACGAUGGCCACACUGUCUCCUCCCGAGACUCAGCGAAGUUGAAGUGUUUGUGAUGAUGCAAUCUACCCGCGGCUAGACGGAAAGACCCCAUGAACCUUUACUGUAGCUUUGCAUUGGACUUUGAACCAAUCUGUGUAGGAUAGGUGGGAGGCUUUGAAGCGGGGACGCCAGUUCUCGUGGAGCCAACCUUGAAAUACCACCCUGGUUCGUUUGAGGUUCUAACCUUGGUCCGUUAUCCGGAUCGGGGACAGUGCAUGGUAGGCAGUUUGACUGGGGCGGUCUCCUCCUAAAGUGUAACGGAGGAGUUCGAAGGUACGCUAGGUACGGUCGGACAUCGUGCUAAUAGUGCAAUGGCAUAAGCGUGCUUAACUGCGAGACUGACAAGUCGAGCAGGUACGAAAGUAGGACAUAGUGAUCCGGUGGUUCUGUAUGGAAGGGCCAUCGCUCAACGGAUAAAAGGUACUCUGGGGAUAACAGGCUGAUUCCUCCCAAGAGUUCAUAUCGACGGGGGAGUUUGGCACCUCGAUGUCGGCUCAUCACAUCCUGGGGCUGUAGCCGGUCCCAAGGGUAUGGCUGUUCGCCAUUUAAAGUGGUACGUGAGCUGGGUUUAAAACGUCGUGAGACAGUUUGGUCCCUAUCUGCCGUGGGCGUUGGAAAUUUGAAGGGGGCUGCUCCUAGUACGAGAGGACCGGAGUGGACGAACCUCUGGUGUACCGGUUGUCACGCCAGUGGCAUUGCCGGGUAGCUAAGUUCGGAAGAGAUAACCGCUGAAAGCAUCUAAGCGGGAAACUUGCCUUGAGAUGAGAUUUCCCGGAGCUUUAAGCUCCUUGAAGGGUCGUUCGAGACCAGGAC
RNAcentral lists this ribosomal RNA (1194 nucleotides) under Massilia agrisoli. RNAcentral's name for it is "partial 23S ribosomal RNA". It matches the Rfam family "Bacterial large subunit ribosomal RNA", at positions 1668 to 2851 of the family's 2925-position model. The record is from RNAcentral. Lineage: Bacteria; Pseudomonadati; Pseudomonadota; Betaproteobacteria; Burkholderiales; Oxalobacteraceae.